CCCCUUUCCGAUCAAGAUCGGAAUGCGUAUAUUGAUUUCGCCGUCCUACGGGGCGGCUAUGGCGAUAAACGAACUCCGUAAUAAACCUAUCGGACCCGGGGGCGGUACCCGGCGCCUCCACCCGAGGCCAUGAAGCAAAACUGCGUGGCCUGGGGCGGGGGCGAAAUAGGAUCGACGAGGGCGUAAAGGGUGCUUUUUCGCUCGGCAUGAUACCGCCGUUAUCGGGUCAAACCUUAUAGUUGCCAAUGACAACUAUGCUCCGGUGGCCGUCGCUGCGUAAUGCAGCGCCUGUACUGGGAUCAAAGCCCUAAGGGUUCGCACCUUUAGGCGGGGCUCGGAGGCGCCUGGCAACAGAAGCCUCCACU
RNAcentral lists this transfer-messenger RNA (365 nucleotides) under Methylocystis heyeri. RNAcentral describes it as "Alphaproteobacteria transfer-messenger RNA". It matches the Rfam family "Alphaproteobacteria transfer-messenger RNA". Rfam says of the family: Bacterial tmRNA, also known as 10Sa RNA or SsrA, is named for its dual tRNA and mRNA-like properties. Lineage: Bacteria; Pseudomonadati; Pseudomonadota; Alphaproteobacteria; Hyphomicrobiales; Methylocystaceae. The record is from Rfam by way of RNAcentral.